UACGGGGGGAGCAAGCGUUGUUCGGAUUUACUGGGCGUAAAGGGCGCGUAGGCGGCCUCUGCAAGUCGACUGUGAAAUCUCCGGGCUUAACCCGGAAAGGUCAGCCGAUACUGCAGGGCUAGAGUGCAGAAGGGGCAACUGGAAUUCUCGGUGUAGCGGUGAAAUGCGUAGAUAUCGAGAGGAACACCUGCGGCGAAGGCGGGUUGCUGGGCUGACACUGAUACGCGAAAGCGUGGGGAGCGAACCGG
This 248-nucleotide ribosomal RNA is filed under the name uncultured bacterium. RNAcentral describes it as "partial 16S ribosomal RNA". It matches the Rfam family "Bacterial small subunit ribosomal RNA", at positions 524 to 776 of the family's 1533-position model. The record is from RNAcentral.